GGGGGCGUGCUAUACAUGCAGUCGAGCGGACAGAUGGGAGCUUGCUCCCUGAUGUUAGCGGCGGACGGGUGAGUAACACGUGGGUAACCUGCCUGUAAGACUGGGAUAACUCCGGGAAACCGGGGCUAAUACCGGAUGGUUGUUUGAACCGCAUGGUUCAGACAUAAAAGGUGGCUUCGGCUACCACUUACAGAUGGACCCGCGGCGCAUUAGCUAGUUGGUGAGGUAACGGCUCACCAAGGCGACGAUGCGUAGCCGACCUGAGAGGGUGAUCGGCCACACUGGGACUGAGACACGGCCCAGACUCCUACGGGAGGCAGCAGUAGGGAAUCUUCCGCAAUGGACGAAAGUCUGACGGAGCAACGCCGCGUGAGUGAUGAAGGUUUUCGGAUCGUAAAGCUCUGUUGUUAGGGAAGAACAAGUGCCGUUCAAAUAGGGCGGCACCUUGACGGUACCUAACCAGAAAGCCACGGCUAACUACGUGCCAGCAGCCGCGGUAAUACGUAGGUGGCAAGCGUUGUCCGGAAUUAUUGGGCGUAAAGGGCUCGCAGGCGGUUUCUUAAGUCUGAUGUGAAAGCCCCCGGCUCAACCGGGGAGGGUCAUUGGAAACUGGGGAACUUGAGUGCAGAAGAGGAGAGUGGAAUUCCACGUGUAGCGGUGAAAUGCGUAGAGAUGUGGAGGAACACCAGUGGCGAAGGCGACUCUCUGGUCUGUAACUGACGCUGAGGAGCGAAAGCGUGGGGAGCGAACAGGAUUAGAUACCCUGGUAGUCCACGCCGUAAACGAUGAGUGCUAAGUGUUAGGGGGUUUCCGCCCCUUAGUGCUGCAGCUAACGCAUUAAGCACUCCGCCUGGGGAGUACGGUCGCAAGACUGAAACUCAAAGGAAUUGACGGGGGCCCGCACAAGCGGUGGAGCAUGUGGUUUAAUUCGAAGCAACGCGAAGAACCUUACCAGGUCUUGACAUCCUCUGACAAUCCUAGAGAUAGGACGUCCCCUUCGGGGGCAGAGUGACAGGUGGUGCAUGGUUGUCGUCAGCUCCUGUC
RNAcentral lists this ribosomal RNA (1044 nucleotides) under Bacillus sp. (in: firmicutes). Its description in RNAcentral is "bacterial SSU rRNA". It matches the Rfam family "Bacterial small subunit ribosomal RNA", at positions 38 to 1066 of the family's 1533-position model. The record is from RNAcentral. Lineage: Bacteria; Bacillati; Bacillota; Bacilli; Caryophanales; Bacillaceae.